This is a long non-coding RNA of Sander lucioperca (pikeperch), 858 nucleotides long. RefSeq lists it as uncharacterized. The transcript is spliced from 3 exons. The record is from RefSeq and is a predicted model, not a curated record. NCBI's taxonomy places the organism in Eukaryota, Metazoa, Chordata, Actinopteri, Perciformes, Percidae.
CACUGGUCAGAGACUUAUUGGUCUCUCACUACAAUGGGCAUUUUUUUAGAGGCCCAUCUACGAUAUAGAAGGUAAAUAUACACUGGAAUAUUUCCGUAAGGGCCUUUUACAUAUUGACAAACGAUAAUAACAUGUAUAUGCCUGUUUAGGGUGAAAAUAAGCGAUUUAUUUCAAGAUAGCAUAUUCGCCCCAUAGGAGUCAUCUAACGAUAGUAUCCAAUAUGGCGCCCAUGAUUUGAGUUGGCCAGACUCUCUCUAAUAUACGGCUCUGCAGAGCGUAGUGGCUUUCCUGUUACUAGCCGCCAGCUGGAUCUCAUCAUCUAAUGAGUCUCUGUGUACAACUAUAGGCUACUGUUUGGCAUGCAAUGCAAUGUUCCCUUGGUCACAUAUUUGAGAUUUUACUCAAAAAUGUAACAGCAACUUAAUUCUUAACACACAAUUUAGAAAGUGCAUGAAUGCAUUGCAUUUUGAAUACAAAGUCAACUGAAAUUUGCACCUACAGUAUACUCUUUAUCAAUGUAAAAAAUGACAGCUGCUGUACCAUCCUUUGGGACUUUUUUUAGGAGGUUAACCCAAACACUAAAAGAGCUCCGCAGUAACCACGCUAAUAAUGAUUGAGCACCAUGGCGGCCAGUUCAAGAAAAGUGACAGAGGUGCCUGGAGGCCUCACUGCAUCUCAUCAGGCUUUAUUAUUAAAUCCUAAUUUACUGCACACUGAUGAUGUUGGAUUAAUGGGUUGGAGGUAAGGAGCAGAGGGCCUCUGGCUUCCAGAUCAUGUGGUGCCUAUAGUCUCGCAUUGCCAGACGCUCCUCCACAGCUCUGCGAGGAGCGUUUGGCUAGUCCACACAACAUUCCAGGA